RNAcentral lists this unclassified non-coding RNA (373 nucleotides) under uncultured bacterium. RNAcentral describes it as "contains 16S-23S intergenic spacer region". The record is from RNAcentral.
UCCGGUUUGUCACCGGCAGUCUCGUAUGAGUCCCCAACUAAAUGAUGGCAACAUACGACGGGGGUUGCGCUCGUUGCGGGACUUAACCCAACAUCUCACGACACGAGCUGACGACAGCCAUGCACCACCUGUGACGGUCCAGCCGAACUGACCCUGUGUUUCCACAGGUAUGACCGACAUGUCAAACCCAGGUAAGGUUCUUCGCGUUGCAUCGAAUUAAAGAACAUGCUCCGCUGCUUGUGCGGGCCCCCGUCAAUUCCUUUGAGUUUCACCGUUGCCGGCGUACUCCCCAGGUGGAUUACUUAUCGCUUUCGCUAAGCCACUAAAGGUUGCCCUCUAGCAGCGAGUAAUCAUCGUUUACAGUGCGGACUAC